UCGGCGCCAUUUUGUCUCGGCAGCGGUGGCCGUAGCUCCAUCGCAUUUUAUGUUUCUGGCGAGAAGGGAACGGAGUUUUCAUCAGGUAGAUUGGUUUUUGUGCGGCCGUCCUCCACCGUUUCCUCCAGGACAGCACCUAGUCGUGGCCGGAGGAGUCUCAGAGCUGUCAGAAAGAAUAAGACUGAUUUUAUGGGAAAAUUAAGCAGAUGCUCCAGUUUGAGAAACCUGGAUCUGCGAUCUGUUUGUGAGUGGUAUUCAGUUAAGAGAACAAUUAUUUCGUAUAAGCCACAUCAGAGACGACUGAAGAUGAAAAAACUACCAUCCCCGUAUAUAACUAAUUUGUGCUGUGCACCAACAAGAACCUGCUUUAAAUUUCCAUGGCAAUUUACAACCCCCAUACUGUACCAGGCAAGGUACCAGCAUCAAGAUGAUUUAUGGUAAUAAGGUACUCAGUCUUUGCUUAAAAUAAAUUUUACGUUUAUCAAAGUAAAAUUUACCAGCUUUUUUUCCUAAAGAGGCUAGUCAUAUCUCAUCAGUGGUUACAAAGUAUCCUUACAAUUGAACCUACAUUUGUUAAUCCUGUUCAGUGUGUAUGAAAAUCACUUGGUGGCCGGGCAUGGUGGCUCACGCCUGUAAUCCCAGCACUUUGGGAGGCCAAGGCGGGCAGAUCACAAGGUCAGGAGUUCGAGACCAGCCUGGCUAAUAUAGUGAAACCCCAUUUCUACUAAAAAUGCAAACAUUAGUCAGGCAUGGUGGCAGGUGCCUGUAGUCCCAGCUACUUGGGAGGCUGAGGCAGGAGACUCUCUUCAACCCGUGAGGCAGAGGUUGCAGUGAGUCGAGAUCAUGUCACUGCACUUCAGCUUAAGCAACAGAGCGAGACUCCAUCUCAAAAAAAGAAAAGCACGUCACUCGAUGUUCUUUCUUUCAUAAGAGUUGAAGAACUAGAUAUAAAACCAAGGAAAAUAACCUAAAGUCUGAAAAAGACCAGAAUCGAAGUUUCCUGAUUCAUAUUUUAAUGUUUUGAAAUUUAUACUCCAGGCUGGGUGCAGUGGCUUGUGCCUGUAAUCCCAGCACUUUGGGAGGCCGAGGCGGCCGGAUUGCCUGAAGUCAGAAGUUCGAGACCAGCCUGACCAACAUGGUGAAACCCUGUCUCUACUUAAAAAUACAAAAGAGCUGGGCAUGGAGGUGGUGCGCGCCUGUAACCCUAGCUACUCGGGAGGCUGAGGCCUAAGAAUCUCUUGAACCCAGGAGGCAGAGGUUGUAGUGAGCCGGGAUCACGCCACUGCACUCUAGCCUGGGCGACAGAGAGAGAGACUGUCUAAAAAAGGAAAAGAAAAAAAUUUAUACGCCAAAAAAGAUAUUCUGAGAUAACCUGUAGUUACCACUAACUUUGUGACAAAAUUAUAAAAAUCCACAGCCAUCUAUGAAUCUGUAGGCAGACCUGAAGUUUGAACGACUGGUGAAGACAUCUGAUUUUCUUUAUAGCCAAGUUAGGAUAACAAAAUGCAAACAAGUCAUUAAUAUUUACUAUAUGCAAGAUACAGAAAGAUGAAGGAAGGAGUAAGAAGUUAUCCUUCGUGGAACUAUUCAAAGCAAAAAUGCAAAAUACCAGGGAAAGCUUUGAAGAACCAAGAUUUGAGCAGGUUCUUAGAAUAUAGAUUGGAUUGGAUUUGAUUUCAAGAAAGAUGAACGUGUAAAGCAGAAGUGGGAAGCCAAAAACUUUUUUCCAAAUUAGAAUUAAGCAUUCUUUCAAUGAACAUUUGGAAAUCAAGGUAGAAAAAUAUCCCUAGGGCCUAGCUGAGGAGUCUGUAUGUUGUUGGGUUUUGAUAGUAACCAGUCCAAGAUUUUGUUAUUAGACGUGGGUUUCUGAAUAGACAGGCAUUUCUGAACAGACAUGACAGGAUCAAAACAAUGUUUGAGCAAACUGCCCUUCAUCUACUGUGGAUAUGUUGGGGGAUGAUGGAAUAUAGUGAAAGAUAAUGGGUGCUCAUACAGCAGUCUAGACUUAAGGUGAUUCAACUACUAUAUAUUAAACUAGAUUAUCUUUUAUUUUUUAAUUUUGAAAUCUGGAUGCUCAAGCUCUGCCUGCACAACCACAUGAGGAAGAAGGAACAAUGACAACAAAAAUAACACUAAAUUUAAAUUUAAGAGUACUACUUUUAGGAAAUAGACAAACCAUUAUUUGGGUACAACUAAAGGCAACUGGCAUGGACUCAAAUAUUUUGGGGAAGAAAAAGACUAAAAGUUCUAAGGAAGAAAAUGCGAACCUUGAUAGUUUGAAAUAGUUAAAAAGACAGUGUAGAAACUGCUUAGGCAGUUUGAUUAUGGACUAUUAGAUGAUACUUGGGUCUGAUAAUGGUAUAAGGAGAAUAAAGUAUUUAGGGAUCCAAUAUUACGCCUGCAGCUUUUUCCAAAUAGUUCAUGGGGGAGGGGGAUGUGUAAGUGGUUAACUGAAGUCUAACUAGAUAGGUUUGUUGUAAGCUUAGGAUGUUUACAGUUCUUCAUGUUAAGUUGAGCGUGAUGGGAAGGGAAAGAAUGCUGAUCUUUAAAUUUUUGUCCUUAGUUAAGUUCUGUAUUUAGUGAAUUAAUUGCAUCCUAAAAAGUCAAACUUGAAAAGCACAUUUUAAAUGGCAAAUCUAUUUUUUACAUGUUUGUGAAGUUUUUAUUUUUUAGUAAACAGACCAUCAGAAGAGAACAAUGGUACAGAGCAGGGGUCAGCAGAUGGAUUUUGUAAAGCAUCAACUUGUAAAUAUUUUCAAGUUUAUUAGCUGUAUGGCUCUGGUUUCUGUUCCCUGUUCCAAAUGUUAAAGUCUACUGUUGUAUUCUAAAAGCAGCCAUGGACUGAAUGUAGCUGUGUUCCAAUAAAACUUACACAAAAGCAGGCAGUGGGCCAUAAUUUGCAACACCUGAUUCACAGCAUAAUUUUGUCACAAACUGAAAGUGUUCCUCAAUUAAAGUGAUUUUUUUUUCUUG
RNAcentral lists this long non-coding RNA (2973 nucleotides) under Homo sapiens (human). RNAcentral's name for it is "HSALNT0377275". The record is from RNAcentral. Lineage: Eukaryota; Metazoa; Chordata; Mammalia; Primates; Hominidae.